GGCCGGAUAAGGCGUUCACGCCGCAUCCGGCGGCUCUACCAUAAUGCCUGAUGCGACGCCUGCCGCGUCUUAUCAGGCC
Molecule: non-coding RNA, 79 nt
Filed under: Escherichia coli
Lineage: Bacteria; Pseudomonadati; Pseudomonadota; Gammaproteobacteria; Enterobacterales; Enterobacteriaceae
Description: Nucleoid-associated noncoding RNA 4 (CssrE)
Rfam family: Nucleoid-associated noncoding RNA 4 (CssrE)
About the family: In E. coli small RNA transcribed from repeated extragenic palindromic element (REP325) called nucleoid-associated ncRNA 4 (nRNA4) collaborates HU protein in condensing the DNA.
Source: RNAcentral